AAUGGGCGCAAGCCUGAUCUAGCCAUGCCGCGUGAGUGAUGAAGGCCUUAGGGUCGUAAAGCUCUUUCGCCAGGGAUGAUAAUGACAGUACCUGGUAAAGAAACCCCGGCUAACUCCGUGCCAGCAGCCGCGGUAAUACGGAGGGGGUUAGCGUUGUUCGGAAUUACUGGGCGUAAAGCGUACGUAGGCGGAUUAGAAAGUUGGGGGUGAAAUCCCGGGGCUCAACCCCGGAACUGCCUCCAAAACUACUAGUCUAGAGUUCGAGAGAGGUGAGUGGAACUCCGAGUGUAGAGGUGAAAUUCGUAGAUAUUCGGAAGAACACCAGUGGCGAAGGCGGCUCACUGGCUCGAUACUGACGCUGAGGUACGAAAGUGUGGGGAGCAAACAGGAUU
RNAcentral lists this ribosomal RNA (392 nucleotides) under uncultured Gammaproteobacteria bacterium. RNAcentral's name for it is "bacterial SSU rRNA". It matches the Rfam family "Bacterial small subunit ribosomal RNA", at positions 370 to 779 of the family's 1533-position model. The record is from RNAcentral. Lineage: Bacteria; Pseudomonadati; Pseudomonadota; Gammaproteobacteria.